UAGGAAAACUAACACAGCAGGCUUAUGCUGAUGGAGCAGAUGCAAGCCUGUGAGCCAGCACGGAUUUCCCAGGAACGUUGCUGUUCGCUAGGCCACGUGCUGGCCUCACAGCUGGUGAUGAGAAGGCGAAGACAGAGUCAGCUUAACCAAGGCACUGUGGGCUCUGUGAAAGCCUUUGGCUUCAUCUUAUGCACCAGAACAGGCCACUGAAGGGCUGU
This 218-nucleotide long non-coding RNA is filed under the name Homo sapiens (human). Its description in RNAcentral is "long non-coding RNA NONHSAT221174". Lineage: Eukaryota; Metazoa; Chordata; Mammalia; Primates; Hominidae. The record is from RNAcentral.